AGUGAACGCUGGCGGUAGGCCUAACACAUGCAAGUCGAACGGCAGCACAGUAAGAGCUUGCUCUUACGGGUGGCGAGUGGCGGACGGGUGAGGAAUACAUCGGAAUCUACUUUUUCGUGGGGGAUAACGUAGGGAAACUUACGCUAAUACCGCAUACGACCUACGGGUGAAAGCAGGGGAUCUUCGGACCUUGCGCGAUUGAAUGAGCCGAUGUCGGAUUAGCUAGUUGGCGGGGUAAAGGCCCACCAAGGCGACGAUCCGUAGCUGGUCUGAGAGGAUGAUCAGCCACACUGGAACUGAGACACGGUCCAGACUCCUACGGGAGGCAGCAGUGGGGAAUAUUGGACAAUGGGCGCAAGCCUGAUCCAGCCAUACCGCGUGGGUGAAGAAGGCCUUCGGGUUGUAAAGCCCCUUUGUUGGGAAAGAAAAGCAGCAGGUUAAUACCCCGCUGUUCUGACGGUACCCAAAGAAUAAGCACCGACUAACUUCGUG
This 492-nucleotide ribosomal RNA is filed under the name uncultured bacterium. RNAcentral's name for it is "partial 16S ribosomal RNA". It matches the Rfam family "Bacterial small subunit ribosomal RNA", at positions 29 to 507 of the family's 1533-position model. The record is from RNAcentral.